Camellia sinensis is the source of this 1662-nucleotide long non-coding RNA. RefSeq lists it as uncharacterized. NCBI's taxonomy places the organism in Eukaryota, Viridiplantae, Streptophyta, Magnoliopsida, Ericales, Theaceae. The record is from RefSeq and is a predicted model, not a curated record.
UCGCUAUUCGGCUUCAACUGUAACAAACCGCUUUUCACUCGACCCCUUGCUCGACUGGCUAUUGGGCCAAAUAGGAUAGGGUUCAAGCGUGUGAGAUGGCGCCGAGUGCUAUAAAUUUUGACCCAGAGUUUGACAUAUUCGGCAUCUCAGCAACUCCCAAUAUUCGGCCCUCACAACUUGAAAUAUAUCAAUUUUGGCUGCUUUGAGUGGCUGAAUUCACCUGGAAGUCAUGAUUUAUUUAUUUAUUUAUUUUUGAAUUUUAAGUUUGGUGAUAAUGCUUUUAAUAUACUUAAGGUAAUCAAUCCUAUUAUAUAUAGAUUUGACAUUAAACACCUGUUCUGUAAUUGAAGAAUUUCAGUAGAAAUUUUGUAUUCUCAGUUUGGGUAUGUUUGUGUAUCUAUGUUUGCUUAGGUAUCUCUAUGUAUCUCUAUUUUGGGAUGUCUCCAGCAGAGAAGAAAACUGUGCAUAUUUUAUUUAUGCCUCCUAGGUGCUUGAUAAAAUGCCACUAAGAAUGGCUGGUUUUUACUAUACUUUUAUAUUGUUUUCCUGUGGGUGUUUUUUUAAUAUAUAUAUAUAUAUAUAUAUAUCUGUAUAUAUAUAUAUCUAUAUCUCUAUACUAUUAUUAAAAGUGAAACCUCACUUUCCCAUGGUUUAAAGCAACAAUGGUUUAAAAGAUUUUCAUGGAAAAUUUUCUGCCUAAAUAAACUUGAAACAUUUUCGGUUGAUUUUUGUUUUCCAUUUUCUAUGAUGCUCAUACCAAAUGUUAAAUGCGGAAAACUUUUUCUCGAAAAUGUUUUCUGUCCAAAAAAAUGUUGUGGUUGUGAUAGUUACUUAUUGCUUCAAAUAGCCAUAGCUAUCAUUUUAGUUUGGUCAGUGAGAGAGUUGAUACUUGGCAUUUCCUUAAUCCAUUUUGAUGUGUAGAUUUUAUUACAUCAGAAAAUAUAAAAGCCUUUGCUUCAUCUUAUAUUACAUCAAAGAAUAAAAACUGUUUUGUCUACAUCCCCUGUCAUGAGUGUCCAACUGAGAAAGAUUUUACAAUGCACUUCUUUUCUCUACUGAUCUUCAUAUAUUCUUAAUAUGUUGCGAAAAUAUUCAAGAAGCGAAAAUAUUCAUGAAGAAGAAUCGAAGAAAGUUGGUCUCUGGCAAAGGAGGAAGCUGCCAAGUCUAAAGCAGCAAAGGAUGUUACAAAGGUUUUGACACUGAAGGUUUGUAGCGAAGUGGUAAGAGUUGCGGGCUUAGAUGGUUGAGAACUAUCGUAUUGUGUGGCUCACAGUAUCUGGUAUAUGGAGUCGUCUUUGCAAAAGUCAUAUAUUCAAGAAUGCAAAAGGAUAGCUAUAUAUCUGAUAGCCGUCAAAGGAUUGUUAGCAGCCACUUGAUGUUAGCAUUGAAUUUACCUUCAAUGUAAUAUAUAGGAUUCUUUCAGGUAAAAUUGCCUAUUUACUUGUGGAUGGAAACUUAUUACAUUUUCUUUAAUGACAACUGUGGGAGCCAAAUAUCAGGGAGACGCAGAUAGGCCAAGUACAUAUUUAGAAAAUCAGGAUAUAUACUAUAUUCGCCCCCAACUUGUACGUUCUAGAUGUCGAGUGUCCUAAUCGACCAUGAAGCCAGUUGAGCAAGGAGCCGAGUGAAAGUUGGAAUAUGACAAAAGGAGGGCCGAGUGAA